RNAcentral lists this ribosomal RNA (483 nucleotides) under uncultured bacterium. RNAcentral's name for it is "partial 16S ribosomal RNA". It matches the Rfam family "Bacterial small subunit ribosomal RNA", at positions 28 to 507 of the family's 1533-position model. The record is from RNAcentral.
GACGAACGCUGGCGGCGUGCUUAACACAUGCAAGUCGAACGAUGAAGCGGGUGCUUGCACUCGUGGAUUAGUGGCGAACGGGCGAGUAACUCGUGAGUAACCUGUCCUUUUCUUUGGGAUAACGGCUGGAAACGGCUGCUAAUACUGGAUAUUCAGGCUGCAUCGCAUGGUGUGGUUUGGAAAGGUUUUUUCUGGGAUUGGGUGGGCUCGCGGCCUAUCAGCUUGUUGGUGGGGUGAUGGCUUACCAAGGCUUUGACGGGUAGCCGGCCUGAGAGGGUGGUCGGUCGCACUGGGACUGAGAUACGGCCCAGACUCCUACGGGAGGCAGCAGUGGGGAAUAUUGCACAAUGGACGAAAGUUUGAUGCAGCGACGCCGCGUGGAGGGUGUAGGCCUUCGGGUUGUGAACUCCUUUUUCUCGCGAAAAAGGCACAGUUUUGGCUGUGUUGAUGGUAGUGGGGGAAGAAGCGCCGGCUAACUACGUG